AUCUGUUCUUAUCAGUUUAAUAUCUGAUACGUCCCCUACCCGGGGACCAUAUAUUAAAUUGAUUUUUGGAGCAGGGAGAUGGAAUCGGGGCUUGCUCCGUCCACUCCACGCAUCGACCUGGUAUUGCAGUAUUUCUAGGAACGGUGC
This 147-nucleotide small nuclear RNA is filed under the name Maylandia zebra (zebra mbuna). RNAcentral describes it as "U2 spliceosomal RNA (ENSMZEG00005000239.1)". It matches the Rfam family "U2 spliceosomal RNA", at positions 38 to 185 of the family's 192-position model. From Rfam's summary of the family: U2 is a small nuclear RNA (snRNA) component of the spliceosome (involved in pre-mRNA splicing). Complementary binding between U2 snRNA (in an area lying towards the 5' end but 3' to hairpin I) and the branchpoint sequence (BPS) of the intron results the bulging out of an unpaired adenosine, on the BPS, which initiates a nucleophilic attack at the intronic 5' splice site, thus starting the first of two transesterification reactions that mediate splicing. The record is from RNAcentral. Lineage: Eukaryota; Metazoa; Chordata; Actinopteri; Cichliformes; Cichlidae.